Molecule: ribosomal RNA, 253 nt
Filed under: uncultured bacterium
Lineage: Bacteria
Description: partial 16S ribosomal RNA
Rfam family: Bacterial small subunit ribosomal RNA
Source: RNAcentral
UACAGAGGUCCCAAGCGUUGUUCGGAAUCACUGGGCGUAAAGCGUGCGUAGGCCGUCUAGCAAGUUGGAAGUGAAAGCCCAGGGCUCAACCCUGGAAUUGCUUUCAAAACUGCAAGACUAGAAUCUCGGAGAGGAUAGCGGAAUUCCCAGUGUAGUAGUGAAAUACGUAGAUAUUGGGAGGAACACCAGUGGCGCAAGCGGCUAUCUGGACGAGUAUUGACGCUGAGGCACGAAAGCGUGGGGAUCAAACAGG